Non-coding RNA from Pelobates cultripes (western spadefoot toad), 360 nucleotides. Lineage: Eukaryota; Metazoa; Chordata; Amphibia; Anura; Pelobatidae. The record is from the annotation of a GenBank genome assembly.
CCCAGACCUCCAGCAUGGGGUCUCUAUUCAGAACUCCUUUAGACCACCCAGACGUCUCUGUGUCUGGGAGAUAAUUGAUUGAUAACCGAUAAACAAAUACUUUCCUGGAUACAAAGAGCGCAACACAGAAAUACCCCCAAAACAUCCCUUAAAUAUUAAUGUAUUCCCGCAUGUCCUACAUCAUUUUAAUGGGCAGAUCUAAGUGUCCAUUGUUGUAAAAUAUCGCUUGUAUCCAUGCAGAAUUGUCGAAACACCACACAGUCAAAGUUUCGCCCAACCGCUCCAAUAACCUGGGCUGAGCUCAGCUGGCCCGGGUGGGUUCCCUGCCACUUUGGACAUUCCUUUAAUGUUUAAUGCAAU